Molecule: unclassified non-coding RNA, 824 nt
Filed under: Hevea brasiliensis (rubber tree)
Lineage: Eukaryota; Viridiplantae; Streptophyta; Magnoliopsida; Malpighiales; Euphorbiaceae
Source: RNAcentral
AAAAUAAUAUGAACAACAAUAGUGAUACUUGUCCUAGCUGAAAUCAAGGUAUUGAAGAAGUGAACUUCCCCUUGUGUUGAUAUUUUGGGUUAGGUUCUGUGAUCAAGCUGGAAGCAUCAGUCUUAGUUAUUGGUAGAUUGUUUAACAUGUAAAUAUCUUUAAGUGUAAUGGACAUAGGUCCCAUUGGCAAGAUGAAGGAGUUGCAGGUGUGAGACCAGAGUCGAAGAGAACUUGAUAUGAGUUUGGGGCAGAAUGGAGGUGCAAAGCAAGUCAAGUAAAUUAAUUUCUCAAUAACGAUCUUAUGCCAGGAGCCUAAGUAUAUAAGAGAUAACCUGUCAAUUCACUCAGCCUAUCCAAUUGUGUAUCUUGGCCAAUACUUAAUCUCCUCGGUUUAAGAAUAAUUUUUAGGGUGUUCUAAUUAAAUAUCUCAUUAAUUUGGCUAAGGGGAAAAGGAAAAUCAGGAAAACAGUAGCAGUAUGCAAAGGACUAAUGCUGACAUUGGCCACAUCUAGGUCUUAUUGUCACAGAUGAACCAGUUGUACAAGGACCAGUACUCGAAGAGCUACUGAAUGAAAAAGGAGAACAACUUGAGGUAGCAUCAGCAGAAGCAAUAACAGCACCUGGUCAGAGAAAAUUUUGGCAGAGUUUCCUCUGCAUCGGGAACGGACAGAAACUUGACCUAGUAUAUGUCAAGUAUGGACCGAAACAACAUGGGAAUCGUUGAAGAUGAACUAAAAGCUAUCGGCGAAGAGGUUUGCCGGUCGUGGAUGCUGAGCGACUGCAAGUACGACUAAAGGAGAGCCGACGUUAGUCAUGGUACAAUG